Molecule: ribosomal RNA, 493 nt
Filed under: uncultured bacterium
Lineage: Bacteria
Description: partial 16S ribosomal RNA
Rfam family: Bacterial small subunit ribosomal RNA
Source: RNAcentral
AUUGAACGCUGGCGGCAUGCUUUACACAUGCAAGUCGAACGGUAACAGGUUAAGCUGACGAGUGGCGAACGGGUGAGUAAUGCAUCGGAACGUGCCCGGUCGUGGGGGAUAACGCAGCGAAAGCUGCGCUAAUACCGCAUACGAUCUGAGGAUGAAAGCGGGGGACCGUAAGGCCUCGCGCGAUCGGAGCGGCCGAUGUCAGAUUAGGUAGUUGGUGGGGUAAAGGCUCACCAAGCCAACGAUCUGUAGCUGGUCUGAGAGGACGACCAGCCAAACUGGGACUGGAACACAGCCCAGAGUCCUACGUGAGGCAGCCGUGGGGAAUUUUGGACAAUGGACGAAAGCCUGAUCCAGCAAUGCGGCGUGCAGGAAGAAGGCCUUCGGGUUGUAAACUGCUUUUGUACGGAGCGAAAAGGUCUCCUCUAAUACAGGGGGCUCAUGACGGUACCGUAAGAAUAAGCACCGGCUAACUACGUGCCAGCCGCCGCAGUAA